This is a long non-coding RNA of Gymnodraco acuticeps, 731 nucleotides long. RefSeq lists it as uncharacterized. The transcript is spliced from 3 exons. Lineage: Eukaryota; Metazoa; Chordata; Actinopteri; Perciformes; Bathydraconidae. The record is from RefSeq and is a predicted model, not a curated record.
GUCAUGCAUUUUCCCUCACAAGAGAGCUACGGCGUUGUGUGUUUGGGUUAACAUAAUGUACUUUUGAAUAUAUGUGAGUUUGUGUAUGUCGUCCUCCGCUUUAUCAGGACUGACCCGUGAUGAUUUGACAGGGUCGAGUCUGCUGUCUGACGGCCUUCUUUGAGGAGAGGCUGGCGGGUUCUUCAGUCGUCCUCAGUGUCCUGUAAAGCUCCAGCCCCGCCACGCUCUGCUCGUCCCUCAGCCGUGAGAUCUGCUCCUGCUGCUCCUUCAGAAGCCUCCUCUGCUGGGAGAUGAUCUGCUGCUGCACGGCGUGUCUGUUCUCGAACCUGCUGCCCGACACCGCUGCGCUUUUUGGCCCGGAGAAGCUGCCGUGGAGCUCUGAGGCCGAGGGUGCUGCAUGGCGUCGGGUCACCUGCCACGGCUGAGCUGGCUGGACCACAACACCCACAGGCGUCUGAUUUCGAUGUACGGAAGAGUCUUCUGGGGCCAACCUUUUUGACCUGGGGUGACCUUCCUACAGAGGGGAAACCAGAACAGCACGGCCCGCCACGCCCGCCAGGCUCUCAGCUGCCGCUUCCAGUCACAGAGGGCUGUGACCUUCCCUAACCGCAGCCUUCUGUCCAACACCACUGAAUACCAUCCAGAGAAAUGCCUCUGCAAACACUGAAACGACAGCAUGACAGGUUGGAAAUCACAAUGAGACAUGUGCAAACUUCCACCCACAGCACAGG